AACCAUUUUUAUACGACCGCAAAAUUUGAAAAAUUUUUCGUCGUAUAUUGCUAUCACGUUGGCGUCGUCGGCGUCGUCGUCGUCGUCGUCCGAAUACUUUUAGUUUUCGCACUCUAACUUUAGUAAAAGUGAAUGGAAAUCUAUGAAAUUUUAACACAAGGUUUAUGACCACAAAAGGAAGGUUGGGAUUGAUUUUGGGAGUUUUGGUCCCAACAUUUUAGGAAUUAGGGGCCAAAAAGGGCCCAAAUAAGCAUUUUCUUGGUUUUCGCACUAUAACUUUAGUUUAAGUGAAUAGAAAUCUAUGAAAUUUUGACACAAGAUUUAUGACCACAAAAGGACAGAUGGGAUUGAUUUUGGGAGGUUUGGUUCCAACAGUUUAGGAAUUAAGGGCCAAAAAAGGGCCCAAAUAAGCAUUAUUCUUGGUUUUCGCACAAUAACUUUAGUAUAAGUAAAUAGAAA
This 459-nucleotide long non-coding RNA is filed under the name Mytilus galloprovincialis (Mediterranean mussel). Lineage: Eukaryota; Metazoa; Mollusca; Bivalvia; Mytilida; Mytilidae. The record is from RNAcentral.